Molecule: small nuclear RNA, 146 nt
Organism: Papio anubis (olive baboon)
Lineage: Eukaryota; Metazoa; Chordata; Mammalia; Primates; Cercopithecidae
Gene: U2
Rfam family: U2 spliceosomal RNA
About the family: U2 is a small nuclear RNA (snRNA) component of the spliceosome (involved in pre-mRNA splicing). Complementary binding between U2 snRNA (in an area lying towards the 5' end but 3' to hairpin I) and the branchpoint sequence (BPS) of the intron results the bulging out of an unpaired adenosine, on the BPS, which initiates a nucleophilic attack at the intronic 5' splice site, thus starting the first of two transesterification reactions that mediate splicing.
Source: Ensembl
AUCGCUUCUCGGCCUUUUGGCUAAGAUCAAGUGUAAUAAAUCUCAUUGUGCUUUAUGCCUAAUGUGUGCUUAUAUUAAACUGAUUUAUACAUAGGAGAUAAGGUGUUAUAAUCCUAGUGGACAGUAGUAUUCAUAAUGUGCUUUUA